UACGUAUGGGGCAAGCGUUAUCCGGAAUUAUUGGGCGUAAAGAGUGCGUAGGUGGUUACCUAAGCGCAAGGUUUAAUCUUGAGGCUCAACCUCAUUCUGCCUUGCGAACUGGGCUACUUGAGUGCAGGAGGGGAAAGCGGAAUUCCCAGUGUAGCGGUGAAAUGCGUAGAUAUUGGGAAGAACACCGGUGGCGAAGGCGGCUUUCUGGACUGUAACUGACACUGAGGCACGAAAGCAUGGGGAGCAAACAGGAUUAGAUACCCUGGUAGU
RNAcentral lists this ribosomal RNA (270 nucleotides) under uncultured prokaryote. Its description in RNAcentral is "partial 16S ribosomal RNA". It matches the Rfam family "Bacterial small subunit ribosomal RNA", at positions 524 to 794 of the family's 1533-position model. The record is from RNAcentral.